This 148-nucleotide non-coding RNA is filed under the name Gorilla gorilla gorilla (western lowland gorilla). Lineage: Eukaryota; Metazoa; Chordata; Mammalia; Primates; Hominidae. The record is from Rfam by way of RNAcentral.
GCUGGGUGUGGUGGUGCACACCUGUAAUCCCAGCUACUUGGGAGGCUGAGGCAGGAGAAUUGCUUGAACCCAGGAGGCAGAAGUUGCAGUGAGCUGAGAUCGUGCCACUGCACUCCAGCCUGGGUGACAGAGUGAGACUCCAUCUCAA